Molecule: long non-coding RNA, 628 nt
Filed under: Setaria viridis
Lineage: Eukaryota; Viridiplantae; Streptophyta; Magnoliopsida; Poales; Poaceae
Description: long non-coding RNA (SVIR_LNC001657)
Source: RNAcentral
GAGGAAGUAGGCUUUAGACUACCAAUAUGUGAUUUUCAGACGAAGGGAGUAGGUUUUAGACUACCAAUAUGAGAAUUUCAGUUCAAACCUGCUAACAGUGCUACUCACGUCGUGUAGUCACAUCAAUUAUUGCAGUUUUACAUAGCAUAUGUGUUGAGGAGAUAGAUGGAUAAAGGGAGUGAAUUUCAGACGAAGGGAGUAGGUUUUAGACUACCAAUAUGUGAAUUUCAGUUCAAACCUACUGACAGUGCUACUCACGUCGUGUAGUUACAUUAAUUAUAGUAGUUUUACAUAGCAUAUGUAUUGAGGAGAUAGAUGGAUAAAGGGACGGGGAGAUACAGGGAGAGAUAUGUCUCCUUACUAGAUGAACAUCAUAUAUAAGAUUUCAUAUAUUGAUUUCAAUAGCUUGACUCAGAGUACAAAUUUGAGAUUUAUUGAAUAACAAAAUAUAAUGGUGCAAACCUUAGGAGCUCUUUGGAAUGAAGGAAUCUCAAAAUGUAGAAAUAGUAAAAACAUAGGAAUAGAAUUGCAUGAUAUUUGCAAUUCUAUAGUAUUUGAAAAUGUAGGAAAGUUUGGUUUUUCUACUACUUUUAGCAUUUCCCCAUUUCUUUUAUUUAUUUAAGGGUCU